Long non-coding RNA from Malania oleifera, 681 nucleotides. RefSeq lists it as uncharacterized. The record is from RefSeq and is a predicted model, not a curated record. Lineage: Eukaryota; Viridiplantae; Streptophyta; Magnoliopsida; Santalales; Ximeniaceae. The transcript has 2 exons.
UCUCUCUCUCUCUCUCUCUCUCUCUAAGAUCCUUCGCCGUUCGUCGUCCAUUUCCAAAAAGGGAGGGUACUGCGUGGAUCAGAAGAGAAAACUCUACACUUUUACUGAAUCGGAUUGUCGUUUCGGAGAGUUUCGGGUUUUCCCAAGAAUCGAGAGGCUGGUGAUACACCGAGCCGCAUCAGUAAAUAAAGAGAGGUAAACUGAGUGGAAAGACGCCGGUUUGAACCCGCUGGGAUUAUUUCUAUACUAUUGAUAUAGGGUUGAAAAAUACUUUCUUUGCAGAGUUGAAAUAAACUACUGUUAUAUGAUACGGCGCAAUAUCAUAGCUAGAUGUACACGUGCAACCACACGUAUUAAAUGAUGUGGUACCAAGAUGAUCGGCUAGCAGGGUGAAACCAUUGGCUGAUAUUAGGCCAAUGGAGGCAAUCAGAUCGUAUGUAGGUACUCGGCAGUGUCUGCACGAACAGGGCAUUGGACAAGUAUCAGUGCACAACCCAAGCCACGGGGUAAAACUGGUUAUAGGGAUAUUUUACUAUUGGUCAUCUGAUAAAUCAUUAAAUGGUCAAAAGACAGAUGUGGAAAUUUUGUAAUAUGAAUAAUGAUAUACCUUAUACAUUACUGUAUUAAAAAUAUUUGAUUUAUAUUCCAGAUGUUGAAUGAAAAUAUGCAUGUAUGCAGUCA